CCUGUUCCGCUCCCUCGCGCGCCGCGUACUGAUGCCUGAGCCGGACGAUGUCAUCUUCCGGCAUCAGUGUGGUGCGCGAGGGAGCUGAACAGGAAGCACUCAGACAGGGAGAGUGCUCCCUCGUGCGCCAGCCAGUCAGCCCGUCUGGUGACACCAGGGCCAGCCUCGGGGGCCCUGAGGUGGCCGGCUCCUGGGCCCCCCACGAGCUGCGACCCCGGUAUGUACGCCACUGCCGAUGGUGAUAUCACUGCUGGGGGUCCGGUGGCCGGGGAAGGCAGGUAAAGGUGAGUUUUACUUACCUG
Non-coding RNA from Pelobates cultripes (western spadefoot toad), 302 nucleotides. NCBI's taxonomy places the organism in Eukaryota, Metazoa, Chordata, Amphibia, Anura, Pelobatidae. The record is from the annotation of a GenBank genome assembly.